Molecule: long non-coding RNA, 13671 nt
Filed under: Equus asinus (donkey)
Lineage: Eukaryota; Metazoa; Chordata; Mammalia; Perissodactyla; Equidae
Description: lncRNA (ENSEASG00005034781.1)
Source: RNAcentral
GAACAAUAUGUUUUGCUCUUGGGCCAAAGUGAGUAAAAUUUGGUAUUAGACCCUAGAAUUUAACCUCAUAUGUUGGCAGUAGACUAGAAAAGGUCUUCAGAUGAAGAGAGCAGAGUAAAAUGGAGAAAGCCAUACACUGGGAGUCAGAUGGCCUGGAUAGGAUUCUGUGCUGGCGCUCAUUAGUCAGAAACUUGAGGUGAGCCAAGGACCUUAGUUUCCUGAUCCAUGGAGCAGAAGGUGGGGUAGAUUGUCUCAAAGUUUCCUUUCAGUUCUAGAAUUAUGAGGUUUUAGGUACUUCUUGGGUUAUUUUAAGCUAAAGUUAAAUGUUGACAUGGUGUAAGCUUCUAAUAUUUUUCUUCUGAUGAACUCAAGUAGCCUAUUCUAAAUUGUAAUAUUUAUCUUAAAUUGCUUAAACUCCUUCAAUCUAACAAACUAGUAUUUCUUAUUCAGCAAACAGUUGCUGAAUGUUUUCCAUGUGCCAGGUACUGUACAAAGGCCUAGAGUAACAGAGAUAAGUGAGACGUUUAAUUACUGUCCACAAGUAAUGACAUUGCAAUGUGCUAAGUGCCCCAAGAGAGGAAUGAAUGAAGUGCCGUUGUUGUUCAAAGGAGAGGUUGAUUUAUUCUGCUUUGUGGGGAGCCAGGACAGCUGAGAAGGAAGUGGCAUUUGAAGGGGUCUUGGAAGAUGUGUUUGCCAGGUGGAAGAUGGUGCUGAGGAGGUAACUGAAGGGCCUUACGGGCGGACCGAGGGGCAUGGUCAGAGUGAGGGAGAUAGGAAGACGCACAGUGUUUGAGUAAACCUUCCAGAUUGAGUUUCAGUUUCCAGGGCUAAAUCAUAGGGAACAAAUGGUGGGGGAGGCAGGGCUUUGACUAGACAGAAGAAUGGGCAAGAAUGCUCUGGAAGUGGAGUGAGGAAUUAGGAGGUCAAAUUCUUGCUAACAUUACCUCUGGGACUUCUUCACAAGUUGAAUAAUAAUUCAUAGUUUUCUUGAGCCUCAUAUAUAGUGAAAUUUACUUGCACUUCUACCCAUAAUUGUUGAGUAGAAUGAUUAGAACAUUCGUCUCUGUUAAUUGACCAUUUACUAUAUAUUGUCUUAUUCUCAAUGUCCAAGUCUAAUAUCUCGUUAAAAACUUUUACCCACAUCUUCUUUUCCAAAAAUUUAUCUCAGUAUAACAUUUAUAGACCAAACAUUUUUUAAAAUGUGUUUUGUUUGGCUAUAGGACAAAGGAUUAGGUUUUUGACAAGGAAUCACAGAUAUGUUUUAAUGAUAGGCAGUGUAUUCUUCAUAUAUAGAAUAUCAUAUUUUACCUCAAAAUCCCAACUCAAACCAUUUUGGUCUAUUGAAAGGAUAAAAUGGGAUGAUGGUUUGGAAGCUGUUUUUUGUGAACUUUAAGGUGUAGAUUAUUGUAAAUAAUUAUAACUAUCGGAAAGAGUACACUAUUACAUUUUAUGUCUGAGUCUCAGCCUUCUCCCUCCACAGUUAUAGGGUAGGAACUGCAUGUCAACUUGGAAUCGGACUCUGUUUUGAGCCAUUUAAUUUAGACACUUAUUAUUUUAAUGUAAGCGCUUUUACUUUGGCAGUCGACAUGCAGUUCUAAUUAGCGCUUGGAACACAGCAGAGUAGGUUGAUGAGGUACAAGACAUGAAAAAAUACGUUCUUAAUGGCCUGCCCGAGGACUCUGGCAGCAUCCAGGAAAGACGCUUUCGGCACAGUGCUCGAUGCUUCUGAGAAAUCAUCUUCACUGGCACUUACACUCUUAUAAAUUUAAUCGCUUCGGUGUUUUGAAAAUGUCAAAAUAUUGGCAUUAGCAGCUUUGUCAUCUAUACCACAGAGAGAACAGUAAUUUCUUAAGCUCAUUCUGAUGUAGCAACUGAUGUUUAAGAAAACUAAACUUGUUUUCUCCAUCUGCCCAGGAUUCGCUUCCCAACUUUGCCAGUCAAGCUCUUACUCAUCCUUUAAACCCUAGUUAGAAUAUCUCCCCCCACAGUCGUCCCUCCCUUUCCCCCGUGGCCAUUCCCUUUUCUGUAUAUACGCAUUGUCUGAAUAUCUACAUCUACAUGACCACACUGAGUUGUAGUCACUUUUUAAUGCAUUAGUCUCCCCUGUUGACUCUCAAUGUCAUAUUUGUAGAACUGUGUCCCCACAUCUGAAUUUUGGUUGCAUCCAAUUAAAAUGCACUGCAUGGUGGAAUAAAAAGAACACUCACUUUAUAGUUAAACUCUUAUAGGUUAAAUCUUAACUGCUAUUUACUUGCUAUGGGAACUUGACCAAGUCACUUAACUUCUUUGAGCGUCUUCAAAUAAGAGUAGUAAAGCCUGCUCCGCAGGAUUGUUGAAGAUUACAUAAGAUCCAUCCAUCAGUUUACCAAAUAUGGAGAGAUCCUGUUACAUGUGAGCCACGUUACUUGGUACUAAGAAUAUAGUAGUCAAUAAGGCAUGAUCCUGCCCUGAGAACUUUAUAAUUUAGUGGGAAAGACAGACAAGAAAACAGCCCAUUGCAAUAUAAUUCUUUCUUUUUUUUCCGGAGGUACUGAGAUUGACAUCUCUUAUCAACAGGUACUCUUUGUUUUGGCAAGGAAGGAUUCACCCUGAGCUAACAUCUGUUGCCAAUCUUCCUCUUUUUUCUUCUCCCCAAAGCCCCAGUGCAUGGUUGUCUGUCCUAGCUGUAGGUCCUUCUAGUUCUUCUCUGCGAUCUGCUGCCACAGCGUGGCAACCAACAGGCGAGUGGUGUGGUUCCACGACCGGGAAACAAACCCGGGACACUGAAGCAGUGAGAGUGCUGGACUUGAACCACUAGGCCGUCAGGGCUGGCUCUGCAAUAUAACUCUUGAAGGAUGAAUAGGAAUUCUCUAGCACAAGGGUUCUAGGGGGCAGGGUGAAGGCAGCAGGGUUUAGGGUGAAAGGGGAAGCAUGUGUGCUGCCAGAGAAAGUUGACAAGUCAAGACAUGGAGAGAGGCAUAAUAUAGCAGUAGCUGUGGGGUUGAGGCUAGAGAUGUAAAUACCAUGCGGGACCUCACAAGCCAGGCUCAGGGCAGGGGGAACCUGUGAGGAGUAGAUGAUCAGGUUUGCCUUUCAGAAAGAUCUCCUUCCUUGGCAGGGUGUGGAGUGGUUUGAGAUAGUCAAGGGAAUCAGUACAACCAGUUCAGAGGCUGUUGCCUUGAAGAGGUGAUGGCCCCUAUAGCAGGAGUUGCGGUGGGAAUGAGGUAAUGAGAACGUAUUGAGAGAUUUAGGAGGAAGAUAAGGCAGGAUGUGAUCCAACGUGUUGGUGAAAAGGAGAUAAGGAAAGGAGAGGAGUCAGGGAGAAGAAACAAGAGAAGUGGUUUGGAGUGUAGUGGGGAAUAGAAAGUCCAGUUUGGAACCUGUGGGGUUUGAAGUACCCAUGGGAAGUGUGGGACAUCUCGAGUUCAUCAUCUUGAACUCAUGCAUAUUUUGACCCAGCUGGUUUUUUGUUUUUGAAUAUAAACAUUUCCCCUAGGAUGAUAUCAACACUGAUGAAUUUUGUGGCAAAGAUUUAUUCCAGGGUGAACUCCAUUAAGGCAAUUUAAUUCCUUGAUCCAUUUUCUAUAUUGCAUAUUUAAACUGUUUACAAUUGUUUCCACUUUCAUUUUUAUUUUACCAACAUUAUCUCCAUCAAGAUAAAAUCAUUCUCCUGUUCAUUUUAAAAGGAAGCUGGCUCUUUCAACUUUUUUUUCUUCAUCUUUGUCAAAUUUUUAGAGAUUAUAGCUUUCUCCAUGGUAAGUUUCCUUUUAGAUCCACUAUUUUUAGUGUGUCAGAUUUUACACAUGUAAACUUUUAUCAAAUCUUUUUCAUUUUUCAUCAAUUUGUGAGAAAAAUUUUUAUCAUUUGCUGUCUCUGCUAUUGUUAGCUGUAGUUUAUUUUUUUUAACCAAGCCUAAUAUUUUCCUGAAACUUUUUACAGUUUUUAAAUUUACCAACAAUAUGUGAUCUUCAAGUCAGCUUUUCAUCUAUAACAAAUUUUACUAUGUAUCAUUUUGGGCCUUGUCACUUUCAUUUUGGUCCUUAAGAUCAGACUGCCUCUUGUUGACAGAAUCAAAAUGGCAUACUUCAGCCUAUGGAUGGCCAAGGGGAGAUGUCCGUGAAAGAGGGUAUGUAUAUAGGUCUGGGGAUUUGCAAAGACAUCUGAGGUCAAAUACAGAUUUGGGAGUCAUUUGCAUCUGGGUGUUGAGGCCAAGGGGAUGGGUGACAUCUCAUGAGAGGGUGUAUAGGGUGAGAAAAGAGUACCUAGGAAAACUAGGAGGAGCACCAACAUGUGGGAAAGAAAUGGCCCGAGGAGGAGGAGUCCAUGAAGGACAGGCAGGAGGUAGGAAGAAAUCCGUAGGAGGGCAUUAUCGUGGAAGUCAAGUCAAGGAGAGUGGUGGUUAACAAUGACAGGUGCGGCAGAGGGCAUGUAGGAUACAUACUGAAACAUGUUCUUUAGAUGGGGCAACAAUAACACCAUCACUCUCCUUGGUGAGAGUCAUCACAUGAGUGGAGAAAAACUACCCAGCUGAGCGUACUCACAAGAGGAGAGAGAAGGAAGUGGAAAAAGUGCAGGCAAUUAUACAGCUAACAUUGACUGUAAGAAGGGGAGUUUGUUUGCUUGUUUGUUGACUGGUUUAUUUAUUUCCUUUUAAAAGGAGAGAGACUUGAGCAUGGUUAAGCACUGAUAAGUUGGAGAGAGAGUUGGAAUGGGAUUCCUGAAGAGUGCAUUAGGACCCCAGUCCUUUCCAGGAGCCGGGAGCUGACAUCAGUCUUGCUGCCUAAAGCUCCGUAUCCAGCACUUACUAGCACCAGGCACUGUAGCAAGCAAUGGAGGUUAAAACAUGAAGAGACACUGUCCCAGCCCUCUCGGAGCUCACGUUCCAGCAGAUUAGCCUUGAACUAGCAUCCACUGCCAAGCCUCCUCUUUCUGCUGAGGAAGACUGGCCCUGAGCUAACAUCUGUGCCCAUCUUCCUCUAUUUUGUAUGUGGGACGCCUGCCAUAGCAUGGCCUGAUGAGCAGUGUGUAGCUCUACACCUGGGAUCCGGAGCAGUGAACCCCAGGCUGCCAAAGCGGAGCGCGUGAACUUAACUGCUGUGCCACAGGGCUGCCUGUGUCAAUGACUUUCUUUUAGUAAACACAACUAGGAUUGAGGGCAGAAGGGCAGGGGAGAGAGGGAGAAAUGGAGGGGGGAGAGAGAGAGAGAUGCUUGAUUUUUUAAAAGAUGGUCCCUUGGACAAGAACACUUGUCAAAGAAGGCCUGGAUGCUCUUGGGAAUUAGCUGACAUUCCAAAGUGUUCACUUUUCCUGAUAGCUUUUGCACCCCUUAAGACGACACCGAGAGCGACCCUAGUCCCUCCACAGCCUUUGAAUGAAUGGGAGGCCCUGAUCUGUUUGGGUGAUUGGAUUUGUCUUGGCAGGUGGGGCUGGCUAUCAUCCACUUAAGCAGGACAGGUUCUCCAGGGUGCCAAGAAGGCUCCUCUUCAACAUGUUCUCUUGAUUUUUACUGACUCCUUUGACAGGGAGAAGCCUCUUGCUUACGAGCCACCCACUACAAGAGCACUUGCUGACGUUAAUGUGUGAAUGGCAUCCGUACCAGGCACUUUCCUGAGAAAACACUUUGAUAGAGCAGAGGACAGAGCAAGCAUGACGAUGCCCAGUUGUGGAAAACGGGAGAGGGUGUCUUCCGACCGAGGGAGGACGGGGAGGCUCAGAGUAAGACGUAUUUUACCAGGAAGUCUCCCAAUCUGUGAAUUGAGCAUGCCUCACACGGAGAUGGUAUUUCCUCCCUGACGCUGCUGCUCCCUGCCUUACUAAUUCUAAUCCCCUCCCCUGCUUCGCUGAAACUGGAAACCUCAGUUAUUUGUGCUUAUCUCUGUGCCUCGAAUGUCGUCUGUUUUGUUGCCUCUUCUCUGGUCCAGCUCCUAUCGCCCUAGGACAGACCCUCAGCAUUUUUCCCCUGGGCCAUUUCAGAAGAGAGGAGCAGAAAAGCCUGCAGACUCUGGAGCCAGACUUCCACGUUUAAUUCAUUGCUCUGUAUUUACUGGCUUUGACUCCCUGGGCAACUCACUUAACCCCCUGUGCCUCGGUUUCCUCCUGCCAUUUGAGAUGCACAACAGUAUUUGUUACAUUUAGUCUAGUGGGAUUCAGUGAAAUAAAAUGUGGGAAAGGCUUGGAACGGUGCCUGGCAUGUAAUAAGUACACAAUAAGCACUAGCGAUCGUUUCCAAUGUCUCCUAACUGGUUUCACUGCCUUCUCGUCUCCGCCCCUAACCCCCUCUCUUUUUCCCACAUAGUAGGCAGAUUGGUUUAUGAUACGUAUGAACAAAGCACUUCCUGCUGGAACAAGUUCCAUGAUGCUCUGGACUUCUCAAGCUGGCUUCAGGCUAUCUUUCUGAAGCCAUCUCCUCUCCUGCCGCAGCUCCAUAGGAUGCUGCACUUACCUGGUCCUGCCACUGCCAUCUGCACUCACAUCUCUGUGCCUUUGGGGCUCUCUACCUAGGAUUUCUUUCUUUCUCCUUUUCUCCUUGGUGAUAAUCCACUCCUCAUCCUUCCAGACACAGAUCAGCUGUCACAUCCUCAGUGGAAACUUUGCUGCCCCUCCCCUCCUCAUCACCAAGUAAUGAUGAUGGUUUCCUUCCCGGCAGUCCCAUGGCAAUUUGUAUAUCCCUCCAACUUAGCCCGCCUGCCAUAGCAGUGUGACUGUGUAUGCACUCCACAUCACCCAUGCCCAUAGAGGGGGAAGCCAUGCCUUCCUGCCCAUCUUGGCUCCCACAGGAUUUCCCUGUGACCAAAUCCUAUUCUACCUUCCCUCAUGGCAUCACAGAUUCUCUUUGUAGCACUUUUCACAGUCCCAAAAGGAAUUGAGGAAGUGUUCUUCAGUUUAUGGAUAAAAGUGGUUGAGAAAGAGAAUGAGAGGAAUGCAUUUGGGAAGGACAAAUUUAUGAGUUGAAUGAUCUGGUUCCUGUGCUUUGUGUCUGCUUCAAGAGCUUGUAGAAACUUUUUAAUACAAAGUGUCAGUCUCUGGGAGGUCCCUCCACCAAGGAUUUGCUGUCCUCUUCUUGCUGUGUUCACUUCCUUCCCUGAGACGCAGUUAAGAGAGGACAGAAUGAAAGCUUCUGAAACCAUAAAAAUAGAUAUGCUAUUGUCCUAUUGUUCUGUAUGGAGAAGAGGGCCACCUACCCUGCAGUUGUUCACGCCGAUGCUCCUUGUUUUAGCAAUGAAGCGCUGAACUCAGACCCAAAUCAUUGCUGUUUGAUGUUGGGUUAGCAUUCUCCUUCAGGAAAAAGUCUACUGAACCCAACAGUGGUGGGUCGGGUUCCCCAGACACAGAGCAGGAGACAGGGACUGUUGUGAAAGUGAGGUGUUAAAAGAGAGCCCUCAGGAGAAAGGGUAGUGAGAGAGGAAGAGUAGGGAAGGAGAAGAAAGCCCAGCGUGGAUGUGGCAUUGGCAGGGACAGCCCUGGCCCUGACCCCACAGGGAGCUUGGGAGCAUGAAUUGCACCAUAGAGCUGGACCCCCUUGAAGCAAGGGGUAUGGUUUUUUAAACCCUCGUGUCAGUCGCUCAUGGUCCCCUGUCUUCUCUGAAGGGAGAAUGGUGGAAGCCUAACCUCCUGGAUGAGGCAGUUCCUUUUGGUCGAGGACUGACAGCAUCUACUACACCAACAAUCUUGGAGUGAAGAAGUGGGGAAAGGUGAUAGCUCAGAGGAUGUGCUAAUGACUAGAGUCUCAACCUCAUUUGGGGGAACUUUGGAGACAAUGCCGUGGGGAUGGGGAAAGUGUGUGCAUAAGGUGUCUGUGCAUGCCUGUGUUGGAGGAAGGUGGUCACAGAGUUUCCCGAGCUAUAUGGUACGGGACCCAGGCAAUUUUAUUAGGAUAUUUAGGGAAUGAUGACCUCAGAAGACACAAGGACUUAGCAAAAGUGAAGCAGCAGACAUUUGGUUUUUGGUUUUUGAUAAUUCAGGGACUCUUUAAAAGGCCAUAGCUUUGCUGUGUCUUUGUCUUGGUCUAGCAGCAAUUGACUGUGGCUAUAUGUUAUGUUUUCUGUUUAAUUAAUUUAUUUAGACUGUCCAUGCUGGUUUUGUAAAGUUUUUUUUUUUUUUUUUUUGAGGAAGAUUAGCCCUUAGCUAACAUCUGCUGCCAAUCCUCUUUUUGCUGAGGAAGACUGGCCCUGAGCUAACAUUCGUGCCCAUCUUCCUCUACUUUAUAUGUGGGAUGCCUGCCACAGCACGGCUUGACAAGCAGUGCGUAGGUCCACACCUGGAAUCUGGGCCAGCAAACCCCGGGCCACGGAAGUGGGACGUAAAAACUUAACUGCUGUGCCACCUGGCCGGCCCCAGAUUUUGUAAAGUUUAACCCAUACACAGAAGGUGAUUGCAAGAGGAAAGUGGAUGCUGCCAAGCCCUUUCGUUGGGGAGUUACUGCUGGACGCUCUGAAUUGAGCUCUGCAUUCCGGAGAGCUGAGACAGCAAUGGGAUAAGUGUCCGGUUAUAAGGUUCUUAUUAUUUGGGAAAAUACAAGAUCUAUAAUGUCACAAAGGGCACAAAACUUUAUUAAUCUCUUCCAAUAAUCUCAAGCCAAAUGGGCGAGACUCCUUGCAUAAGUUGGUUAGCAUUGUUCCUACCUGGAUAGCUCCAAGCAUGAGUCUUUGGCCCUCUCAGAGUUUCUAGAGCUGCCUAAUGUCCUUAAAUAAGUUCCUUGUCUGUUUUAACUUGGACUUUUAAGAAUGGAUGACUUCAGAAAGCUGGAGGGCUUCCAGACAUACACAUGGCUGACUUUUGUAUUUUUACAUGUAUAAGCAUCUUCAAAAAGACCAUAGCUUGCUGGUUGACUGAAUGUUUGUGGGUCUUGCAGAUACUUCUACUGCUAUCAGCGGGUCCAGCAUUAUGUUUCUAAAGUUUUCCCCCAUCUGGUCUUCAAUGGAAAUUCCUAUCUCUGCAGUCAUCAUUUUCUAGAGGCCUGAGUACGACAUUCCAAGCGCAGGGUUACUCAUGGUGACAGGGCUUGAACAGGCCAAGUUUGAAAACCUUGCCUUCCAAAGAGUUGCUAGAUCCUGAGAACUGUAGAUGUUAUAUUUUUUGUGCAUGUGUGUGAUUGAGGUCUAUAACUGUAGAAGCUGUUUCAACAGCUCCUGAAAAUGGUCGCUGACAAAUCUGUAACCAUUGGCUUCUCUCCUUCUUUCAUUUAGAAGUCUGGUGCAGAAGAAAUAAUACGCAGUUAAUUGAGAGGGUUCAUUCAUUUGGGUUCCGGUUAAAGUCAGAGAAAGCCCUAAUCUUAGUGCUAUUGGCCUCAAGAAAUGAUCUGUUAGAGCACCUGUAAAACAGCAACAAUAUUAUUAAGGGAUGUUAUCAGAAAAAUCAUUUCCCGAGCAGAGAUGUGAAGCUUUAAGAUCUAUGUGUGUUUCUAUCCAUAGUGAGUUGGGUUUUAUACAAAUCCGAUUAUAUGUGUGUAAUAGGGUACCAGGUGUGGUGGAAUUUUUUAUUUAGAGGUGAACACAGGAAGUCACAUUGGAGCAGGAUCCUUCAUAUAAAUAUCGGAAUUCAAGCAUAUCUUGACUUUGGAAAAUGGUAGACAAUUAACUGUUUUUGGUUUGUUUCCAAUCCUGAAGUCUAACAAAGACUUCUCAGUUUGCAGAGGUUGUGGGAGGGAGCGGAUGUAUUUGCAUAAGGAUCCUAAAAGCCUUCUGAGAGGGGAGGAAAUGAGGCAUCGACCUCUUCUACCAAACGUUAAAAUUAGGAAAACCUGCCAUGGUGGACUAUGGUGGACCUGAGCAAAGUGCAGUGACAGAAGAGGACACUAAAUUUCCCCAAAGGGAAACACCGCAAGACAAAGUGGAGUCUGGCAGUGAUCUGAGCUCCAUACAAUAGCCCCCAAAAGGCGAAGAGCUCAUUCUGGCACACCAUGAGCCUGAGUUCAGAAGAUCCACAGGUAGGAGCCAGGAAACCAAUGCUCUUGCAUGCUAUGAUAAAGAUCAUAAACAUUCCAUACUGCAUAAAGGGCCACCGAAGGAUUUAAAGCAAGUCAACGGCUGAGUUUUUGUAUUAGAGAGCUCAUUCCAGUGACCAAUGUGGAGAAUACAUUUAAGAGGAACAAGAAUAGAGUCUGGGAGGCCAUUGUCUUGGUCCAGGGGAGAGGAAUAGAGCCUGAGUGAGCCAGUGAUAGAAGGAAAAGAUUCAAGUAAUAGGAGGUAAAUCUGUCAUGACCACUCAGGGGAAGCAGUACUUAAUUUGUUUGCUAUUAAUGCUGUUUGUUACUAUUAUAAAUAGUAGGGAUUGUAAUAAGUGGCCAAUUAUUCUCCUCCUGAUUCCACUUGUUACAGCUGUUGGUCUCUAAAAAGAAAAUUAGAAAGACGGGGCUUUGAUUAGCUUCACUUACUUUCCUAAUGACUGUUGUUAUUAUUUUCAGUAUAUUGAGUGGAGUCAUUGUUUUAAUUUGCAUAAGUGGCUUUUGGAUAUGCAAAGAUCCAAUUACAUUAAAAGCUAGAUAUCAAUUGAUAUAGGAGAACAAUUACCUAGAUAUGGCCAUGACAUUAAAUAGAACAAAUGUCUGACUCGAGAGUUUGCCAACAUUUCCAUUGAGUUAAUUCUUGCUGCCAAGAAUAAUGGAGGAGAACAUAAAGAAAAGGAGAAGAAAUAUAGAUGGUCUUAGCCAAAUGAUACCUCUGCACAUUAGAAGAAUGGGGUUUUUUUUUAACCAAAAUGUUUAAAAUUAGAAAACCAACACAUUUUUUGUUGUAAAACAGCAACAAUAAUCUAAAACUAUAAAAUGGUGUAUAUGGUAAAAAUGAAAAAGCAUCCACCCCACAACCUCCUAUUGGCCGGGACCCGGGAUAGCCACUAUUCACAGGCUGGUGGGGAUUCUUCCAGGUCGGGGGUGUCCUUAAAGAGAUUCUGUUCGUUUUAGAGUCUAUGACAGCACGUGUUUCAUCAAGCUAAUCUUUGACCUAUUUUCUUAUCUGAUAAAGUCUACUUGAUGAUUCAGUUCAUAGCUUGCUGGUUGGCUGAAUGCUAGAACUGUUGCUGGCAAGAGAUGCUGUCAUGUUGGGACAGUAGGCAGUGAGAAUAAGAGGAACAGGACAGAAGGUCAGGAGAAGUGGCUCAGGUGAAGGUUGAGUACCAAAGGCAGAUCCAGGCACGAAAAUAGGAUGACGGGCUUGGGAAUGAAGCCCUGGAAGUCCACCUUCUCUGCCUUCACUUUUUCACUCCAAUCCUAAUCACUCUGACCCUGCUGUUGAGUUUUACCCCCAGCCUUCUUCCAAAUUAUUCUCCCAAAGGUCACCAAGGGACCAUUUGGUCACCACAUUUGAUGACCUCCCCUCCAUUUUUACCCUUCUUAACCUCGCUCAGUGUUGACAUUGCCAACCACAGGCUCCUUUAUGAAUCUUCUGCUUUCCUUGGCUCUGGUGACAAUGUGCUUUCCUGGUUCUUAAGUGUUCCCAACCAUUCUUGCCCUGAUUUACACCAUUCUCCUCUCCUGGUCCUCAAAUUGUGAGCAUUACCUACAACUCUGUGUUUUUCCUGCUCCUCUUUUCUCUGCAUUUUCUAUUUCUUGGACAUUUAAUUCACUUCUGUGGCUUCAACGAUGAUCUCUAUGAGGGAAACUCUAAAAUAUUAUCAAUAUAGACAUAGAUAAAAAUAUGAAGCUAGCCCUGACCUUCCCUGGAGUUCUGAUCUUCUGUUUUCUCUCACCUUCUAGACACAUCCCAUUUAUAUUUCACUUUUUUUUUUUGCAGGGCAAGGUUUGGCCUAAGCCAACAUCUGUUGCCAAUCUUCCUCCUUUUUUCUUCUCCCCAUCCGCCCAAAGUCCCAGUACAUAGUUGUGUAUAGUUUUAACUUCUUCUGGUUCUUCUCUGUGAACCGCCACCACAGCAUGGCUGCUGACAGACAAGUGAUGUAGUUCUGUGCCCAGAAACAGAACCCAGGCUGCUGAAGUGGAGUGUGCCAAACUUUAACCAGUAGGCCAUCAGGGCUGGCUCUCAUUUGUAUUGCAAACUCAGCAUUUCUAAAACUGAACUUGUGGUCUUCCCCAUCAGACAAACUCCUUUGCAUGGCCUAUGGGGGCCUUGGUGAUCUAUCCCUGCCUACCCUUCCAGUCUCGUGUCUUGCUACUCUCCCACAAGGACCCUCUGUUACAACAGACCUAAAUACCUGCAGCUGUCACAUGGCUCUGUGCUAUCAACUGCACUCCCUCCACCUGAAAUGCCCUUCUCCUCAGACCUGGAUUUUUUUUUUUUUUUUAACCAGACAACCCUUCUUCACUCCUUGAAAUUUCUCUUGAGUAUCGCCUUCUUUAGGAAGGCUUGCUUGAAUUCCUGAAUCUGGUGCCCUUCUGCUGUCUCCUAGAGCAGCCCCUGGAACCUUCUGUUAUAAGACUUAUCACAUUAUGGUGUAUUUGGUGGUUUCCUUUCUUGUGUUUCUAACUAAACUAUGAGGCCUCUGAAUGGAAGGACUGUGUCUUUGGUCUCCGCACCCGCAGGACCUAGUCAUACAUAGUAGGACUGAGUAAAUACUGAAUAAAUAUAAGAACCAGCUUCUCUCUCCUGGCUUCUCUAUUUUUAAAGAGAGUAAAGCCAUCUCAAAUUUUUUUCUCAAAGCCUGACUUCUCCCCCUAACUCCGGAAUCACAUUCCUUUGCAAUAUCUCCACCUGAUUGUUCAGCAGGUUUAUCAAAGAUAGCAGGUUCUAAGCAAAGCUCUUGAUUCCUUGGCCCACUGUUCCCCCAUCUCAGAAAGGGCACACCUAUUUAUAACUGCUCAGCUAAGCAAAGACCUUAGAAGCAUCCUUAAUUUCUCCCUUUUUCUUAUACUUCACAUCAAAUCUAAUUAAAAAAUCAUAUAAGCCUUAUCAUAUAUUGGGAAUCUGGCCAUUUUUCGUUGUGUCUAACGAUAUCACGUUAGUCCAGGCCACCAUCGUCUCUUGCCUGGACUCUUGUGGUGCCUUCUCACUGGUCUGUCUCCAUUUGCUCUUGCCCCUCUACAAAUGAUUCCCCCACACAAUGGCCGAGGUCCUUAGCCUGGCUUACAAGGCCUUUCCAGGUUUGGCCUUUGGCUACCCCUUUGGUCUCACUUCCUGCCGACCCACCCGUUGUGGACUCUGCUCUGCUCACACUGGCCUCCGUGCUGCUUCCUGAACACACCAGACCCACGUCGGGGUUUUCCUUUACUGUUCUUUCUGCCUUGACCUCUCUUCUUCCAGAACUUUUUGUGGAUACUACUUCAUUCUCUUCCGGUCUCUGCUUAGAAGUCACUUCCAGAAAGAGGACUUCUCUGAUCACACUGUCUCAAAAAGGACCUCCCUGAGCCUCUAUGCUCUUACCCAGAUUUUUUUUCCUUUACCUCCUGAUAUUUUAUAUUUCUUUAUCUAUCUAUUGAUCUCUUCUAGCUAGUAUAAAAGCUCCCUGAGGAUAAAGUCUUUGUCUAUCCAGUUCUUUGCUGCAGCCCAGCAUCUGGAACAGUUCCUGGCAUUAUAGUAAGAGCUCUGUAAAUAUAUGAUGAGUGAAUUAAUUAUUCUGGUUCUUGAGGGCUGACUCGUCUUUGACUCUCCACUUGCCUUCCUUCCUGUGUAUAGUCACCACGUCCUUCAGAGUCUUCCUUGUGCGUAUUCAAUGAAUAUUUGUUGAUGCAAACUGUCUUACACUGUGUCUAUCACUGAGCUGCUUACUUCCCACAAUUGCUCUAUCAAAUUUGGCGAUUAUGCG